Molecule: long non-coding RNA, 723 nt
Organism: Coccinella septempunctata (seven-spotted ladybird)
Lineage: Eukaryota; Metazoa; Arthropoda; Insecta; Coleoptera; Coccinellidae
Exons: 3
Source: RefSeq, a predicted model, not a curated record
GCUUAAAUAUAGUUUUUUGUAACAAAAAACAUUUUGAAUAAGAAGAAUUUCAUAACAACAAUGGUCCAGUAUUGUGUUGGAAACGGAUGCCAUAAUGCAGGGGACAUAAAUAUAAUAUAAUAUUUUUUCUGUGAAGUGUUGGUAUCACAUAAACCAAUCCAUCCUGAACAGUCUAACAGAAGUGAGAAUCCACAAAAGGAGAGAAGCAAUAAAUAAUUAGGAAUUAUGCCUUAUGUUUUUCAUUUUUUUAGGUUCCCUCUCCGAAAACCAUUUACUUUACAACUUUGGACCAAAGCUACAGGAAGGAAAAAUUGGUAUCCGUAGAAAUACAUUUGCAGAAAAAAAUUUGCAGUCCCCCACAGGAAAUAUUUCUUGGCAGUUUGUCAAGGAAUUAAAAAAGUUCAAAUGGAGGAAGGUCUAAGGUUGGCUAAUUCCCUCUCAUCUCAGCAUAUCAAUUAUAAAAAUAGAAUUAUGAAUGUCAGAUUAGCUACUCGAACAAUUAGUAAUGGGGUAGCAGAUGCUAUGGAAUUUCUUGAUAACAAAUAAAUCUGUUCCGGAGAGAGUUUAAAGCUCCAAUUAGAUCUUCUUCCCUGAAGUAUGUUGAGGAAAUUUUCAGUGAAACUAUAGAAUAUUUAGAAUCAUUGGAAAUUGAUGAUACCAACAUUCUUGGGGAUCCUCUACUAUUCGUCAGAAAAUGACUAAAUUAAUUUUAUUUAAUAAUUG